GUCGACGAUGAUCCGGUGCUUGCACCGGGGAUUAGUGGCGAACGGGUGAGUAACACGUGAGUAACCUGCCCUUGACUCUGGGAUAAGCCUGGGAAACCGGGUCUAAUACCGGAUACGACCUUUCACCGCAUGGUGGUUGGUGGAAAGAUUUUUUGGUUUUGGAUGGACUCGCGGCCUAUCAGCUUGUUGGUGAGGUAAUGGCUCACCAAGGCGACGACGGGUAGCCGGCCUGAGAGGGUGACCGGCCACACUGGGACUGAGACACGGCCCAGACUCCUACGGGAGGCAGCAGUGGGGAAUAUUGCACAAUGGGCGAAAGCCUGAUGCAGCGACGCCGCGUGAGGGAUGACGGCCUUCGGGUUGUAAACCUCUUUCAGCAGGGAAGAAGCGAAAGUGACGGUACCUGCAGAAGAAGCGCCGGCUAACUACGUGCCAGCAGCCGCGGUAAUACGUAGGGCGCAAGCGUUGUCCGGAAUUAUUGGGCGUAAAGAGCUCGUAGGCGGUUUGUCGCGUCUGCUGUGAAAGCCCGGGGCUCAACCCCGGGUCUGCAGUGGGUACGGGCAGACUAGAGUGCAGUAGGGGAGACUGGAAUUCCUGGUGUAGCGGUGAAAUGCGCAGAUAUC
Molecule: ribosomal RNA, 623 nt
Filed under: bacterium 29-L049640-122-012-E04
Lineage: Bacteria
Description: bacterial SSU rRNA
Rfam family: Bacterial small subunit ribosomal RNA
Source: RNAcentral